CUCUUAGAUGUUCUGGGCCGCACGCGCGCUACACUGAUGCAUUCAACGAGUCUAAAACCUGCUCUGAUAGGGGUGGGUAAUCUUUUGAAUGUGCAUCGUGAUUGGGAUAGAUGAUUGCAAUUUUUCAUCUUCAACGAGGAAUGCCUAGUAAACGCAAGUCAUCAGCUUGCAUUGAUUACGUCCCUGCCCUUUGUACACACCGCCCGUCGCUCCUACCGAUUGAAUGAUCCGAUGAAUAUCAUGGAUUGAGGAUUAUAGCAGGUUCGCCUGUCUUGAUCUUCGAGAAGUGAAGUAAAUCUUAUCAUUUAGAGGAAGGAGAAGUCGUAACA
This 329-nucleotide ribosomal RNA is filed under the name uncultured eukaryote. RNAcentral's name for it is "partial 18S ribosomal RNA". It matches the Rfam family "Eukaryotic small subunit ribosomal RNA", at positions 1470 to 1796 of the family's 1831-position model. The record is from RNAcentral.